UACGUAGGGGGCAAGCGUUGUCCGGAAUCAUUGGGCGUAAAGCGCGCGUAGGCGGCCCGGUAAGUCCGCUGUGAAAGUCAAAGGCUCAACCUUUGAAUGUCAGCGGAUACUGCCGGGCUAGAGUCCGGAAGAGGCGAGUGGAAUUCCUGGUGUAGCGGUGGAAUGCGCAGAUAUCAGGAGGAACACCGAUGGCGAAGGCAGCCCCCUGGGCUAGCACUGACGCUCAGGCACGAAAGCGUGGGGAGCAAACAGG
Molecule: ribosomal RNA, 253 nt
Filed under: uncultured bacterium
Lineage: Bacteria
Description: partial 16S ribosomal RNA
Rfam family: Bacterial small subunit ribosomal RNA
Source: RNAcentral